This 694-nucleotide ribosomal RNA is filed under the name uncultured organism. Its description in RNAcentral is "bacterial SSU rRNA". It matches the Rfam family "Bacterial small subunit ribosomal RNA", at positions 8 to 696 of the family's 1533-position model. The record is from RNAcentral.
AGAGUUUGAUCCUGGCUCAGAUUGAACGCUGGCGGCAGGCUUAACACAUGCAAGUCGAGCGGAGAUGAGGUGCUUGCACCUUAUCUUAGCGGCGGACGGGUGAGUAAUGCUUAGGAAUCUGCCUAUUAGUGGGGGACAACAUUCCGAAAGGAAUGCUAAUACCGCAUACGUCCUACGGGAGAAAGCAGGGGAUCUUCGGACCUUGCGCUAAUAGAUGAGCCUAAGUCGGAUUAGCUAGUUGGUGGGGUAAAGGCCUACCAAGGCGACGAUCUGUAGCGGGUCUGAGAGGAUGAUCCGCCACACUGGGACUGAGACACGGCCCAGACUCCUACGGGAGGCAGCAGUGGGGAAUAUUGGACAAUGGGGGGAACCCUGAUCCAGCCAUGCCGCGUGUGUGAAGAAGGCCUUAUGGUUGUAAAGCACUUUAAGCGAGGAGGAGGCUACUGAGACUAAUACUCUUGGAUAGUGGACGUUACUCGCAGAAUAAGCACCGGCUAACUCUGUGCCAGCAGCCGCGGUAAUACAGAGGGUGCGAGCGUUAAUCGGAUUUACUGGGCGUAAAGCGUGCGUAGGCGGCUUUUUAAGUCGGAUGUGAAAUCCCCGAGCUUAACUUGGGAAUUGCAUUCGAUACUGGGAAGCUAGAGUAUGGGAGAGGAUGGUAGAAUUCCAGGUGUAGCGGUGAAAUGCGUAGAGA